GCCCUGAAUGGAAAAGAGGGCACACUCUCGUCGGAUGACGAGGGCCAGAGCACGGUCGGCUCCGGCAAAUUAUUAACUUGGAUGCAGAGACCACAUCCGGCCCUC
The submitters of this non-coding RNA (105 nucleotides) gave its source as unclassified sequences. The record is from Rfam.